UACGUAGGGUGCAAGCGUUAAUCGGAAUUACUGGGCGUAAAGCGUGCGCAGGCGGUCGUGCAAGACCGAUGUGAAAUCCCCGGGCUUAACCUGGGAAUGGCAUUGGUGACUGCACGGCUAGAGUGUGUCAGAGGGGGGUAGAAUUCCACGUGUAGCAGUGAAAUGCGUAGAGAUGUGGAGGAAUACCGAUGGCGAAGGCAGCCCCCUGGGAUAACACUGACGCUCAUGCACGAAAGCGUGGGGAGCAAACGGG
Molecule: ribosomal RNA, 253 nt
Filed under: uncultured bacterium
Lineage: Bacteria
Description: partial 16S ribosomal RNA
Rfam family: Bacterial small subunit ribosomal RNA
Source: RNAcentral